RNAcentral lists this transfer RNA (94 nucleotides) under Vibrio splendidus. RNAcentral's name for it is "tRNA-Ser". It matches the Rfam family "tRNA". From Rfam's summary of the family: Transfer RNA (tRNA) molecules are approximately 80 nucleotides in length. Their secondary structure includes four short double-helical elements and three loops (D, anti-codon, and T loops). Further hydrogen bonds mediate the characteristic L-shaped molecular structure. tRNAs have two regions of fundamental functional importance: the anti-codon, which is responsible for specific mRNA codon recognition, and the 3' end, to which the tRNAs corresponding amino acid is attached (by aminoacyl-tRNA synthetases). tRNAs cope with the degeneracy of the genetic code in two manners: having more than one tRNA (with a specific anti-codon) for a particular amino acid; and 'wobble' base-pairing, i.e. permitting non-standard base-pairing at the 3rd anti-codon position. Lineage: Bacteria; Pseudomonadati; Pseudomonadota; Gammaproteobacteria; Vibrionales; Vibrionaceae. The record is from RNAcentral.
GGUGAGGUGGCCGAGAGGCCGAAGGCGCUCCCCUGCUAAGGGGAGUAUGUGGUUUAUAGCCGCAUCGAGGGUUCGAAUCCCUCCCUCACCGCCA